This 494-nucleotide ribosomal RNA is filed under the name uncultured bacterium. Its description in RNAcentral is "partial 16S ribosomal RNA". It matches the Rfam family "Bacterial small subunit ribosomal RNA", at positions 29 to 507 of the family's 1533-position model. The record is from RNAcentral.
ACGAACGCUGGCGGCGUGCCUCAUACAUGCAAGUAGCACGCUGAAGGAGGAGCUUGCUUCUCUGGAUGAGUUGCGAACGGGUGAGUAACGCGUAGGUAACCUGCCUGGUAGCGGGGGAUAACUAUUGGAAACGAUAGCUAAUACCGCAUAGGAGUAGAUGUUGCAUGACAUUUGCUUAAAAGGUGCAAUUGCAUCACUACCAGAUGGACCUGCGUUGUAUUAGCUAGUUGGUGGGGUAACGGCUCACCAAGGCGACGAUACAUAGCCGACCUGAGAGGGUGAUCGGCCACACUGGGACUGAGACACGGCCCAGACUCCUACGGGAGGCAGCAGUAGGGAAUCUUCGGCAAUGGACGGAAGUCUGACCGAGCAACGCCGCGUGAGUGAAGAAGGUUUUCGGAUCGUAAAGCUCUGUUGUAAGAGAAGAACGAGUGUGAGAGUGGAAAGUUCACACUGUGACGGUAUCUUACCAGAAAGGGACGGCUAACUACGUG